UAAAUGACUCUCGGCAACGGAUAUCUCGGCUCACGCAUCGAUGAAGAACGUAGCAAAAUGCGAUACUUGGUGUGAAUUGCGGAAUCCCGUGAACCAUCGAGUUUUUGAACGCAAGUUGCGCCCGAAGCCUUUUGGUUGAGGGCACGUCUGCCUGGGCGUCACGC
Molecule: ribosomal RNA, 164 nt
Filed under: Arnica parryi
Lineage: Eukaryota; Viridiplantae; Streptophyta; Magnoliopsida; Asterales; Asteraceae
Description: 5.8S ribosomal RNA
Rfam family: 5.8S ribosomal RNA
About the family: 5.8S ribosomal RNA (5.8S rRNA) is a component of the large subunit of the eukaryotic ribosome.
Source: RNAcentral